UGUUAAAAAUUCCAUCCAUUUCAACUAUUAAAAACGGGUCACUAUUUGUCAGCAUGAGGUACACAUGACAUGCCACGUGUCAAUAUCUAGUUAUUCCUACAACCUCGCCAGUUUUUAAUAAUACAAAUAGAUGAAAUUUUUAAUA
This 145-nucleotide microRNA precursor is filed under the name Gossypium hirsutum (cotton). RNAcentral describes it as "MIR7502 microRNA precursor family". It matches the Rfam family "MIR7502 microRNA precursor family". Lineage: Eukaryota; Viridiplantae; Streptophyta; Magnoliopsida; Malvales; Malvaceae. The record is from Rfam by way of RNAcentral.